Cavia porcellus (domestic guinea pig) is the source of this 1999-nucleotide long non-coding RNA. RefSeq lists it as uncharacterized. The record is from RefSeq and is a predicted model, not a curated record. The transcript has 2 exons. Lineage: Eukaryota; Metazoa; Chordata; Mammalia; Rodentia; Caviidae.
AGAUAGACCAAAAAUACUGACUGAUAAAAGCUACCCAAGGAAGCAGUUUGUACAAGUUUUACCAAAUUGUUAACAAUAGACAUUUUGGUGUUUCAUCAUCCCUCCUCUCCCAUCUGAUAAAGGGUAAGAUCUGUGAUGUAGCGAUGUACUUUGUUUUUUCCAGCACUCUAUCAUGAGUGUGAAGGGGCAUCCAGCAAAUAACAGACACCUGAUGUUUGUUAAUUGGAAAACAUGAUAAUAAGUGCUUGCUGGGAUUUUUUUUUUUUGGAGGGCCUUGAAUGCUAAGUUGUACUUGAUUCUCGAGGGCAUGGAAAACAAGUGAAUAUGAGACCUGAGGAAUGGACAGAGUAAAACCUACUGUUUAGCAACGUGAAUCCAAAUGAGAAGGGUCACGGAUACAAGUAUAGAAUCAUACAUGAUGCCUACCAUUGGCUGAACAGAUUUUUAAAAUGUGAUAAAUAUACAUGAUGGAAUAUUAUUCAGCUCUUAAAAAUUAAACCCUGUAAAAAUAUCCAAUUCACUGUUUCAAGAUGUGCUGUAACUUAAGUGUCUCCUGCAUAUGAGGAGCAGGACACAGGCCAUCAGCCCUCCUCUGCUUUUGGAGAAAAAAUAGAACACUGGCACUUCAGGGCCACCAAGAAGAUGGGACCUUCUCUAGGAAAAAUGGCCUGAAGCAAAGAAGAAGAAGAGCUCGGACAUGACAAAUUCCUGCAUUAGCUAAGUGAUCUUUCAUUUUGUUCCUCAUGAAUGUAUUUCUUAUUCUAUACCAUCCAGAUAGUAACACGAAAGAUCCAUAACCAUGUUAUGACAUCGAUGCAUGGAUACUAUUAAGGUUGUUCGUGAGCGCAAGAAAUGUCACUAGCAUCCUUCACCAUGAAAAAUUGUAGUUCCCUUCGCAAAAGUGCUGUACAUUGCAGAGGAUGUGUGAGAUACAUUUUUGAAUGAAUUGAGUGUCAGACUGAGUUCCGCAGGUAGAAUCCUUGUGCCCAUUCUGAAUUCCAUGGACUGCACGAAGACAUAACAGAUCUCCUUUUCAUACUUGCUCUGAAGUUCACUGACAUUUUAGAUAAUAGAAGGCACCAUUUAGAACAGGAGGGAUCUUUAGCUACUCCAGAGAAGUUGUCUGAAUAUUAACAUGAGGCUUUUGAGAAAAAAAAAAAUAACCUUGACCUUCUAAAUUGUACCUGUUCAGGAAGGCUAAGGAUCAUGAACUGCUAAGCUAUUCAUAUUAAUAAAGUGUGUGCAGGAAAAAUCAUAUUCAUUUGCAUAAGCUUCUUCUCUCUGUAGCCCAUGAAAUUAACAUUGUUUAAUGGCUGGAAAUACGAUCACCUUUCGCUGUAUCAGUCACACUCUCUUCUCCAAAGGAAAAGAUAGAGGGUCUUGGCUCAGUAAACUGGAAACUGUUUUAAAUUACAAGUGCUUUCGGGAGACAAUCAGUGCGAGCCCAGGUGCCAGGAAGUGUCAGAUCCAGAUGAAUAUAGGUUUCCAUGAAAGCCCAUUCCAACACAGCCUUCCUGUCCACCAUCUCAUUCAAUCAUUUUAUUCUUUCUAUUGACAUACAUAUGUGGGAGGUGUUUGAAUAGCUCUUGGCCCUACCUUCAAAGGCCUCACUGUGUCCAGUGAGAAGACAGUAACCAAUUUUAUCCUUGGGGCUGUGGGACAACUGCCAUAGUGCAUGUGACGUUUGCACUGGGCUCUGAAGACCAUGCAGGAGUUCUCAGGUUAGGAAGGAGAAAAACGAUCUGGCUAAACUAUUACAGUGCUAUGAAAGGAGUUUUGGUUUUGAAGAAAAAGCAAGUAGUUCAGUGUGAUGGAGGGUUAUCUACAUAAUUUGUAGGACUUAGUGAAAAACUAAAAAUACUGGGCUCUUUGUUUAAAAAAAAACAGGAAAAAUGCUAUCCUUUUUAAUCUUUUUAAUCUCUUUCUGGUCUCUUCUCUCCUGUCAUUUAUUUGCUAUUUAAUGUAUUACCACAGAGUGGAAUAAAGCCAGUGCCAGCUA